GCUUANCAUGCAGUCGAGCGGAGAUGAGGUGCUUGCACCUUAUCUUAGCGGCGGACGGGUGAGUAAUGCUUAGGAAUCUGCCUAUUAGUGGGGGACAACAUUCCGAAAGGAAUGCUAAUACCGCAUACGUCCUACGGGAGAAAGCAGGGGAUCUUCGGACCUUGCGCUAAUAGAUGAGCCUAAGUCGGAUUAGCUAGUUGGUGGGGUAAAGGCCUACCAAGGCGACGAUCUGUAGCGGGUCUGAGAGGAUGAUCCGCCACACUGGGACUGAGACACGGCCCAGACUCCUACGGGAGGCAGCAGUGGGGAAUAUUGGACAAUGGGGGGAACCCUGAUCCAGCCAUGCCGCGUGUGUGAAGAAGGCCUUAUGGUUGUAAAGCACUUUAAGCGAGGAGGAGGCUACUGAGACUAAUACUCUUGGAUAGUGGACGUUACUCGCAGAAUAAGCACCGGCUAACUCUGUGCCAGCAGCCGCGGUAAUACAGAGGGUGCGAGCGUUAAUCGGAUUUACUGGGCGUAAAGCGUGCGUAGGCGGCUUUUUAAGUCGGAUGUGAAAUCCCCGAGCUUAACUUGGGAAUUGCAUUCGAUACUGGGAAGCUAGAGUAUGGGAGAGGAUGGUAGAAUUCCAGGUGUAGCGGUGAAAUGCGUAGAGAUCUGGAGGAAUACCGAUGGCGAAGGCAGCCAUCUGGCCUAAUACUGACGCUGAGGUACGAAAGCAUGGGGAGCAAACAGGAUUAGAUACCCUGGUAGUCCAUGCCGUAAACGAUGUCUACUAGCCGUUGGGGCCUUUGAGGCUUUAGUGGCGCAGCUAACGCGAUAAGUAGACCGCCUGGGGAGUACGGUCGCAAGACUAAAACUCAAAUGAAUUGACGGGGGCCCGCACAAGCGGUGGAGCAUGUGGUUUAAUUCGAUGCAACGCGAAGAACCUUACCUGGC
RNAcentral lists this ribosomal RNA (936 nucleotides) under Acinetobacter junii. RNAcentral's name for it is "bacterial SSU rRNA". It matches the Rfam family "Bacterial small subunit ribosomal RNA", at positions 46 to 979 of the family's 1533-position model. Lineage: Bacteria; Pseudomonadati; Pseudomonadota; Gammaproteobacteria; Moraxellales; Moraxellaceae. The record is from RNAcentral.